AGCGAUAGGCAUAGAGGAAGGUAGAUGAAGCCCCGCGCUCCCCAGAGCCCAGCCCUGGUCACCGCGUGCUGUGUGGGUGCCUGUGCCAGGAUCAGCUGGCUGGACGGCUAUGGCCCCACACCUGCAGGCCACGUACCUGGGAGAGUGUGGGCCUUCAGAGCCUUCUGGCUCCCAGCCCCACAGAGGAAUUACGGUCCCGUGUCCCUCACAAGGACCCUUGCAGUGGGAGCAGUGCAUCGGCACAGAGCAGGACACAGGGGAGCCGGGCUGAGGCUGCGGGUCCUUUGUGGCCGCCAGGUGCUCACACGUGCCUCGGUGGGGAUCUGGCAGCCAGAUUUGGGCUGCGGCGAGUCCUUUGCACAUGUUGGCAACACACGCGUCCGCAUCGGCCUCCCUGCCCACAAAGCGCCACAAUGGUGACCAGCCGGAGCAGCCGGAGCUGAAGCGGAUCAAGACAGAAGACGGCGAGAGCAUUGUCAUUGCCCUGAGUGUGGACACGCCACCGGCAGCCGUAAGGGAAAAGGGUGUCCAGAACUAGCGACUGGGAGAGCUUUUCUUUAACAAUAUCA
Molecule: small RNA, 569 nt
Filed under: Pongo abelii (Sumatran orangutan)
Lineage: Eukaryota; Metazoa; Chordata; Mammalia; Primates; Hominidae
Description: processed transcript
Source: RNAcentral